Molecule: ribosomal RNA, 496 nt
Filed under: uncultured bacterium
Lineage: Bacteria
Description: bacterial SSU rRNA
Rfam family: Bacterial small subunit ribosomal RNA
Source: RNAcentral
AUUGAACGCUGGCGGAAUGCUUUACACAUGCAAGUCGAACGGCAGCACGGGGCAACCUGGUGGCGAGUGGCGAACGGGUGAGUAAUACAUCGGAACGUGCCCAAUCGUGGGGGAUAACGUAGCGAAAGUUACGCUAAUACCGCAUACGAUCUACGGAUGAAAGCGGGGGAUCGCAAGACCUCGCGCGAAUGGAGCGGCCGAUGUCAGAUUAGGUAGUUGGUGGGGUAAAGGCUCACCAAGCCGACGAUCUGUAGCUGGUCUGAGAGGACGACCAGCCACACUGGGACUGAGACACGGCCCAGACUCCUACGGGAGGCAGCAGUGGGGAAUUUUGGACAAUGGGCGCAAGCCUGAUCCAGCCAUUCCGCGUGCAGGAUGAAGGCCUUCGGGUUGUAAACUGCUUUUGUACGGUAACGAAACGGUUCUCUCUAAUACAGGGGGUAAUGACGGUACCUGAAGAAUAAGCACCGGCUAACUACGUGCCAGCAGCCGCGGU